UGAUACAACGUUCAUCUAUAGUUCUUCUC
Molecule: non-coding RNA, 29 nt
Filed under: Mus musculus (house mouse)
Lineage: Eukaryota; Metazoa; Chordata; Mammalia; Rodentia; Muridae
Source: RNAcentral